This 274-nucleotide ribosomal RNA is filed under the name uncultured bacterium. RNAcentral describes it as "partial 16S ribosomal RNA". It matches the Rfam family "Bacterial small subunit ribosomal RNA", at positions 523 to 796 of the family's 1533-position model. The record is from RNAcentral.
AUACGGAGGGUGCAAGCGUUAUUCGGAAUCACUGGGCGUAAAGGACGCGUAGGCGGGUUGGCAAGUCAGAUGUGAAAUCCUACAGCUUAACUGUAGAACUGCAUUUGAAACUGCUAACCUAGAGUAUGGGAGGGGGAGAUGGAAUUAGUGGUGUAGGGGUAAAAUCCGUAGAUAUCACUAGGAAUACCGAAAGCGAAGACGAUCUCCUGGAACAUAACUGACGCUAAGGCGUGAAAGCGUGGGGAGCAAACAGGAUUAGAUACCCUAGUAGUCC